Molecule: ribosomal RNA, 1291 nt
Filed under: Escherichia coli
Lineage: Bacteria; Pseudomonadati; Pseudomonadota; Gammaproteobacteria; Enterobacterales; Enterobacteriaceae
Description: partial 23S ribosomal RNA
Rfam family: Bacterial large subunit ribosomal RNA
Source: RNAcentral
AAUGGGUCAGCGACUUAUAUUCUGUAGCAAGGUUAACCGAAUAGGGGAGCCGAAGGGAAACCGAGUCUUAACUGGGCGUUAAGUUGCAGGGUAUAGACCCGAAACCCGGUGAUCUAGCCAUGGGCAGGUUGAAGGUUGGGUAACACUAACUGGAGGACCGAACCGACUAAUGUUGAAAAAUUAGCGGAUGACUUGUGGCUGGGGGUGAAAGGCCAAUCAAACCGGGAGAUAGCUGGUUCUCCCCGAAAGCUAUUUAGGUAGCGCCUCGUGAAUUCAUCUCCGGGGGUAGAGCACUGUUUCGGCAAGGGGGUCAUCCCGACUUACCAACCCGAUGCAAACUGCGAAUACCGGAGAAUGUUAUCACGGGAGACACACGGCGGGUGCUAACGUCCGUCGUGAAGAGGGAAACAACCCAGACCGCCAGCUAAGGUCCCAAAGUCAUGGUUAAGUGGGAAACGAUGUGGGAAGGCCCAGACAGCCAGGAUGUUGGCUUAGAAGCAGCCAUCAUUUAAAGAAAGCGUAAUAGCUCACUGGUCGAGUCGGCCUGCGCGGAAGAUGUAACGGGGCUAAACCAUGCACCGAAGCUGCGGCAGCGACGCUUAUGCGUUGUUGGGUAGGGGAGCGUUCUGUAAGCCUGCGAAGGUGUGCUGUGAGGCAUGCUGGAGGUAUCAGAAGUGCGAAUGCUGACAUAAGUAACGAUAAAGCGGGUGAAAAGCCCGCUCGCCGGAAGACCAAGGGUUCCUGUCCAACGUUAAUCGGGGCAGGGUGAGUCGACCCCUAAGGCGAGGCCGAAAGGCGUAGUCGAUGGGAAACAGGUUAAUAUUCCUGUACUUGGUGUUACUGCGAAGGGGGGACGGAGAAGGCUAUGUUGGCCGGGCGACGGUUGUCCCGGUUUAAGCGUGUAGGCUGGUUUUCCAGGCAAAUCCGGAAAAUCAAGGCUGAGGCGUGAUGACGAGGCACUACGGUGCUGAAGCAACAAAUGCCCUGCUUCCAGGAAAAGCCUCUAAGCAUCAGGUAACAUCAAAUCGUACCCCAAACCGACACAGGUGGUCAGGUAGAGAAUACCAAGGCGCUUGAGAGAACUCGGGUGAAGGAACUAGGCAAAAUGGUGCCGUAACUUCGGGAGAAGGCACGCUGAUAUGUAGGUGAAGUCCCUCGCGGAUGGAGCUGAAAUCAGUCGAAGAUACCAGCUGGCUGCAACUGUUUAUUAAAAACACAGCACUGUGCAAACACGAAAGUGGACGUAUACGGUGUGACGCCUGCCCGGUGCCGGAAGGUUAAUUGAUGGGGU